GAUGAACGCUGGCGGCGUGCCUAAUACAUGCAAGUCGAGCGAACGGACGAGAAGCUUGCUUCUCUGAUGUUAGCGGCGGACGGGUGAGUAACACGUGGAUAACCUACCUAUAAGACUGGGAUAACUUCGGGAAACCGGAGCUAAUACCGGAUGAUAUUUUGAACCGCAUGGUUCAAAAGUGAAAGACGGUCUUGCUGUCACUUAUAGAUGGAUCCGCGCUGCAUUAGCUAGUUGGUAAGGUAACGGCUUACCAAGGCAACGAUGCAUAGCCGACCUGAGAGGGGGAUCGGCCACACGGAACUGAGACACGGUCCAGACUCCUACGGGAGGCAGCAGUAGGGAAUCUUCCGCAAUGGGCGAAAGCCUGACGGAGCAACGCCGCGUGAGUGAUGAAGGUCUUCGGAUCGUAAAGCUCUGUUAUUAGGGAAGAACAUAUGUGUAAUUAACUGUGCACAUCUUGACGGUACCUAAUCAGAAAGCCACGGCUAACUACGUG
Molecule: ribosomal RNA, 496 nt
Filed under: uncultured bacterium
Lineage: Bacteria
Description: partial 16S ribosomal RNA
Rfam family: Bacterial small subunit ribosomal RNA
Source: RNAcentral